AACUAGAUGACUGAAAAAUAAGUAUUGGUCUCUUAAACCACAAUAAUAGUAAGGUAAUGUUUACUUCUAGUAA
This 73-nucleotide transfer RNA is filed under the name Allacta robusta. Its description in RNAcentral is "tRNA-Lys". Lineage: Eukaryota; Metazoa; Arthropoda; Insecta; Blattodea; Pseudophyllodromiidae. The record is from RNAcentral.